UGAAAAGCGAUGAGCGUGCACAGUAGAGAACUGUUUUCCAUCAGAGAGAGAAGGUCACUGGCUGUAAGCCUUCUUUGGUUCAGACGGCAAUCGAAAUUCCCACGUAAGCUGCAUUUUUGAAAUGAUUUCAGAGUAGAAAGUGCCGUCUAUUGUACGUUACACAAGACCAAGUGCUCACAGGAAGACUGUGGGAAUUAGGGUGGUACCGCGAAUACAGACUUCGUCCCUUUU
RNAcentral lists this non-coding RNA (231 nucleotides) under Mediterraneibacter gnavus. Its description in RNAcentral is "Ruminococcus gnavus T-box sequence". It matches the Rfam family "T-box leader". Rfam says of the family: Uncharged tRNA acts as the effector for transcription antitermination of genes in the T-box leader family. T-boxes are found upstream of many aminoacyl-tRNA synthetase genes and some amino acid biosynthetic genes usually in Gram-positive bacteria. The anticodon of a specific tRNA base pairs to a specifier sequence within the T-box motif, and the NCCA acceptor tail of the tRNA base pairs to a conserved bulge in the T-box antiterminator hairpin. The record is from RNAcentral. Lineage: Bacteria; Bacillati; Bacillota; Clostridia; Lachnospirales; Lachnospiraceae.